AGAGUUUGAUCAUGGCUCAGAUUGAACGCUGGCGGCAUGCCUUACACAUGCAAGUCGAACGGUAACAGGUCUUCGGAUGCUGACGAGUGGCGAACGGGUGAGUAAUACAUCGGAACGUGCCCGAUCGUGGGGGAUAACGAAGCGAAAGCUUUGCUAAUACCGCAUACGAUCUACGGAUGAAAGCAGGGGACCGCAAGGCCUUGCGCGAACGGAGCGGCCGAUGGCAGAUUAGGUAGUUGGUGGGAUAAAAGCUUACCAAGCCGACGAUCUGUAGCUGGUCUGAGAGGACGACCAGCCACACUGGGACUGAGACACGGCCCAGACUCCUACGGGAGGCAGCAGUGGGGAAUUUUGGACAAUGGGCGAAAGCCUGAUCCAGCCAUGCCGCGUGCAGGAUGAAGGCCUUCGGGUUGUAAACUGCUUUUGUACGGAACGAAAAGACUCUGGUUAAUACCUGGGGUCCAUGACGGUACCGUAAGAAUAAGCACCGGCUAACUACGUGCCAGCAGCCGCGGUAAUACGUAGGGUGCAAGCGUUAAUCGGAAUUACUGGGCGUACAGCGUGCGCAGGCGGUUAUAUAAGACAGAUGUGAAAUCCCCGGGCUCAACCUGGGAACUGCAUUUGUGACUGUAUAGCUAGAGUACGGC
RNAcentral lists this ribosomal RNA (647 nucleotides) under uncultured bacterium. Its description in RNAcentral is "bacterial SSU rRNA". It matches the Rfam family "Bacterial small subunit ribosomal RNA", at positions 8 to 652 of the family's 1533-position model. The record is from RNAcentral.